This 465-nucleotide ribosomal RNA is filed under the name Vreelandella stevensii. Its description in RNAcentral is "partial 16S ribosomal RNA". It matches the Rfam family "Bacterial small subunit ribosomal RNA", at positions 338 to 795 of the family's 1533-position model. The record is from RNAcentral. Lineage: Bacteria; Pseudomonadati; Pseudomonadota; Gammaproteobacteria; Oceanospirillales; Halomonadaceae.
CCUACGGGGGGCUGCAGUGGGGAAUAUUGGACAAUGGGGGCAACCCUGAUCCAGCCAUGCCGCGUGUGUGAAGAAGGCCCUCGGGUUGUAAAGCACUUUCAGUGAGGAAGAACGCCUGGUGGUUAAUACCCAUCAGGAAAGACAUCACUCACAGAAGAAGCACCGGCUAACUCCGUGCCAGCAGCCGCGGUAAUACGGAGGGUGCGAGCGUUAAUCGGAAUUGCUGGGCGUAAAGCGCGCGUAGGUGGCUUGAUAAGCCGGUUGUGAAAGCCCCGGGCUCAACCUGGGAACGGCAUCCGGAACUGUCAAGCUAGAGUGCAGGAGAGGAAGGUAGAAUUCCCGGUGUAGCGGUGAAAUGCGUAGAGAUCGGGAGGAAUACCAGUGGCGAAGGCGGCCUUCUGGACUGACACUGACACUGAGGUGCGAAAGCGUGGGUAGCAAACAGGAUUAGAUACCCCGGUAGUC